This 492-nucleotide ribosomal RNA is filed under the name uncultured bacterium. RNAcentral's name for it is "partial 16S ribosomal RNA". It matches the Rfam family "Bacterial small subunit ribosomal RNA", at positions 29 to 507 of the family's 1533-position model. The record is from RNAcentral.
AGUGAACGCUGGCGGUAGGCCUAACACAUGCAAGUCGAACGGCAGCACAGUAAGAGCUUGCUCUUACGGGUGGCGAGUGGCGGACGGGUGAGGAAUACAUCGGAAUCUACUUUUUCGUGGGGGAUAACGUAGGGAAACUUACGCUAAUACCGCAUACGACCUACGGGUGAAAGCAGGGGAUCUUCGGACCUUGCGCGAUUGAAUGAGCCGAUGUCGGAUUAGCUAGUUGGCGGGGUAAAGGCCCACCAAGGCGACGAUCCGUAGCUGGUCUGAGAGGAUGAUCAGCCACACUGGAACUGAGACACGGUCCAGACUCCUACGGGAGGCAGCAGUGGGGAAUAUUGGACAAAGGGCGCAAGCCUGAUCCAGCCAUACCGCGUGGGUGAAGAAGGCCUUCGGGUUGUAAAGCCCUUUUGUUGGGUAAGAAAAGCAGCAGGUUAAUACCCCGCUGUUCUGACGGUACCCAAAGAAUAAGCACCGGCUAACUUCGUG